Molecule: transfer RNA, 97 nt
Filed under: Pseudomonas chlororaphis subsp. aurantiaca
Lineage: Bacteria; Pseudomonadati; Pseudomonadota; Gammaproteobacteria; Pseudomonadales; Pseudomonadaceae
Description: tRNA-Ala
Source: RNAcentral
GGCGGUGCGUGGUGGGCGGCUGAUGGCCACCCCGGGGCUGGCCUUCCUGGUGGGCUACCAGGCGGCCUUGCGCAUGCUCUGGCCCAGCGCUCCGCUG